AGAUUGAACGCUGGCGGCAGGCCUAACACAUGCAAGUCGAGCGGCAGCACGGGUACUUGUACCUGGUGGCGAGCGGCGGACGGGUGAGUAAUGCCUAGGAAUCUGCCUGGUAGUGGGGGAUAACGCUCGGAAACGGACGCUAAUACCGCAUACGUCCUACGGGAGAAAGCAGGGGACCUUCGGGCCUUGCGCUAUCAGAUGAGCCUAGGUCGGAUUAGCUAGUUGGUGAGGUAAUGGCUCACCAAGGCGACGAUCCGUAACUGGUCUGAGAGGAUGAUCAGUCACACUGGAACUGAGACACGGUCCAGACUCCUACGGGAGCAGCAGUGGGAAUAUUGGACAAUGGGCGAAAGCCUGAUCCAGCCAUGCCGCGUGUGUGAAGAAGGUCUUCGGAUUGUAAAGCACUUUAAGUGGAGAAGGCAGUUACUAAUACGUAUCUGUUUUGACGUUACGACAGAAUAAGCACCGGUCUAACUCUGUGCUAG
This 485-nucleotide ribosomal RNA is filed under the name uncultured soil bacterium. RNAcentral describes it as "bacterial SSU rRNA". It matches the Rfam family "Bacterial small subunit ribosomal RNA", at positions 26 to 511 of the family's 1533-position model. The record is from RNAcentral.